AGGAGAAAGUUGUCAGCAAUUAAUUUUCAGAGGGCUAAACUUCACCCAUUUUUUAAUAGAAGAGGAGUCUGAGGGACCACAGAGAGAAUAAAUCAUUUGGGCUCAUGGGAGGUUUUUAGCUGCUUUCCAGAGCAAGUGUUACUACUUUUGCACCUUGGCAACAAGUGAAAUAUUUGCUUUUAACCACUGAGGCAAAUAUUCUUAAAUAAGCAAGACUUAAAGCAAACAAAUAAAAUUUAAAACGGCUUUUCUUUGGGACGUCCGUUGAUUCCUUCCCCAAAGGAAGAUACCAAACGCUUGGGUAGAGAUCUGGUUGAUGUUGUAGGUGAUGCUCGGGGGGGGCUGCGUAGAGAAGAACUUAUUUUGUUGUUUUUUUCCUCGGACUGUAAUUGAUAGAUAUGGGAAGUUUGCUGAUGGGAUUGGGACUCUUAAAACCAGCUCAUGGUUUUAUUUUUCGCGGGUGGGAUGGAUGUGAUUUCCUUGCAGCUUAGUCCAUCCGCUCAGCACAGACUUCAGCGAGUAAAUCCAGUCCCUUCUCUGUAGAGAUGGACGGGGCACAAUCGCGGGGCUGAUUUAUCGGUGGUUCGUGGUUGUUGUUGAAUCGAUAGUGUUUUAAUGAGUCUGUGUUAGGAAAGGAUAGAUUAUAUUCUUUCCGCAGAACCUCGAUUUAUCAAAGCUUUUCAGCAUUUUGCUUACAGUUAAGCAGAUGUUUAAGUCCAGUACUACUAUGCGCCGUUUAAAUGGUAUGCAAGGGUCUAAUACAUUAUCUGCGCUGCCAAACAAACCCCGUGUCCUGGUUUUGUUAAAAAGCAAGUUUCUCUUUUAGUGAAUUCGCCUGUCAGCUAAAACUUCAUAUUGGCUGUAUUUUCCUGGAGAAUCAGAUACAUGUUUUGGUAAACAUAGCAAUGGAAUGCGAAGUUAUUGAUAAGCACAGAUGGACAUCUCGCGAGAGGGGCAACGAGAAACAGGUGCCCAAGAACCUGACCAACUGAGUGUAACAUCCCAUUCACAUGAUACUUCAUAUAAAAAUGGGAGAUCACAAGCAUCUUGUCCCUUUUCCUUUUUCAUCCCUUUUCCUUACGGCCGACAUCAGGAGAGGACCUUGCUAGUCAUCCCUGCGAACUGAGGCCAGUGACAGACUGAAUCCAGCUCCAGUUGGCUGCAGAGUCCAGUCCAGGACUUUGGUUGCCGGCUCUGCAGUUGCUGAGACUUUCAAGAUUGGUUUUGCAUAUUUUGUAUGAUUUUCUCUAUUCUUAUUAGCAGCCUUAGUAAAACAUUUUUAAUGUUUCCAGCUCUCUUCUCUCUGUCCUCCUUUUUCUCCCGAUCGCCUGUCCUGAGUGGGAAGGGGGGAGAGGGAGGGGCAAAAGGGGAAGAGGGGGGAGAGGGUUAACAAUACAUCUGCCACGGUUUUAUUGUCACCCUGCAAUCUAAACCCUCGACACCCUGAUACUUUGGCUGCUAGUAAAGCUUUUAAUUGCCAUUAAAGCUGACAGUUAUCUUCCUAUAUUAACAAAAUGUUUCCUGUAGCUAAAGGAAUCCACAAAUCAUCUGUUCAGAGCGGCCUUGACAGCUCCCACCAUUUCUCCCCGCUUUGCGUUGUUCUUAAGUGCAGAAGGUAAUGGGUGGAAAAGGCGGCAGAGGUGCCAGGGCCAUCGCCGAGCCGGGGCCUUCCCCAGGUGAGACAGCUGGUCGGGAAGCUUGGGAGAUAAAGCACCAAGCAGAGUCAUUGCGGAAAAACUCCCCUCUGUCAUAUUUCUCUUUAUUACCCUUUCCUCCGCAGCCACGAUGGGAUUAGUGAUAUUUCCAUUUGUCUAGUUUAUGUAUUUUUGUUUUCCCUUCCUCUGAAAAACGAUCACAGAAUGAAAAGUCUGUCAGGCCUUGGAGUUCAGCAAGACUCUCUCUGGAAUUCAUUUCAUACCGUGGAGCAGGCGUCUAGAAAAAUGCUAUUUGAUUAAACUUUUGGUUUAAUAUAAGGAAAUGGUUAUUUGAGCUUGUUGGUGGGUGUAGGACACAGAGCUGUGUGGACAAUGCAGUAUUUUUAUUUGUCAAAUGCCUGAAGCCUUAAAAACCAAAGCAGCAAUAAUAAGGAGGAGAGCUGAGGAAACAGAAGUUUUGCUACAGCUGGUUAUUUUCUGAAUGUUAGAAAUUCCACGGCAAAGGAGAAAAGCACUAGUAAUAAGUACCUUGUCCUUGAGUAGAACACAGGUUGGAUGAGCUGAGAUGUUCAGAGCUCGGGGCCCAGCAGAGCCGGGUUCAAAGGGUCCGGCGUGAAACAGCUCUUGACUUCAUCCUCCUCUGCGCAGCCUCUCGAGGCCUCGAUCUAAUCGAAGGGGUUUGUUCCGACACCUGCUGCAAUCACAGCUAAAUGCUUUCCCUGUAAAAUCAAUGCUGAUAAUGAAGCCUGGGCUGUGCUCUUGUCUCCACGCUUUGCUUUCUACUCCUUCCCAAUUGUGAGACCCUCCAUCUCCACCGCUCCUUCCACCUGAGCAUCGUCUGUAGCUGCUCUGAGUGACUUUACUCCAACCCCUUUUUGCCUUCCUCUUCCAUACAGAAUGAUUUGCUGCCAGCAAAUACAUUGGGGAAAAAGGGGCAGGGGGGAAUCCUUCAACUUCAGUUGCACAAAAUUAACGAAGCAACCACCAAUUAGCACUGAUGUGUGUUGUCACUGUGUCUCGCUAAGGAGCAAAACCAGCGUUCGAGCUGAGACCCAGAGCUUCACCCAUGGAAAAUCAUGUUUAAUGUUCGGCCAGACUGUGGGUAGGGAUUAUUAUCUUGGUUUCUGAAACAGCUGAAAUUUGCUUUGGGAUCCUCCAGUUGAGGUUGGUGUAGUAUCUACAGGCACCUGUUGUUCUGCCUGGAACAACCACCCUCACACACCGAGCUCUUCUAUCAGCAAGAAAACCCCUGCACAAGGUGCAGGAUUAUAGGGCUCCACAUCUGGCAGGGUUGUGGCGACACUUCUAUUGUGCUUAACAGAGCCAAUACUUGGAAAAUUAGGAUAUUUUUAAUUUAUGGAGGUAAAACUCCCCCAGAAAAGUGCAUUUGCUGUUGUAAAGCUUGGAGGUAAUUAUACUCUCCUUUUUUGACACUGCGCUGUUGGGAAUGAAUACCAGCCUUUCCAUUUGAGGGUUUAUUUGAUUAUUUUUCUCGUUUUGCAAAACAUUAUUACGUUAAGCCACCACUCCUGAAUCCUUAUCCUCCUGUGGCAUUUAUGCACGAGAGGGACUGUGCUCUGAAAGGCAGAGCAGACUGAAGAACGCUCCACGAUGAUGGAAAGGCUUCUGUUCAUCCCGCGCUUUCGGUGUAAGAGCUUAUUUUUGGCUUUAGAAGCAAACGCGACCUAGUUUGGAUCCAAAAUGUAAUCUGAGCCUUCAUCUGCACAUUUCAGACUGUUACUGAGGGCUGAAAGUGCUCAACUGGGGUUCUGGGGGCUAUUUUAUUUGUUUCUGUAGGAGCUGCUUUUAUAGCCCAUAUAUAUAUAUAUGUACACAGAUAAUAUGCUUCCAGUGGUGGGGAGGGGAGUCAUUCAACAAUGAGGUGACUUUAUUUCUCUUUAUUUUUGUGAUGCAGCCUUUAAGGUCACGAGCAUGUGCUGGGUUGAAACUCCUCCCUUGGACUGGAAAUACCGACCAUGACACCCCACCAGCCCACAUCGCUCCUAUUUUUCCUUCCAGUCUCUACACACCGACCUGACUGCAAUUCCAUUUCUGCCUUAUUCUUCUAGUUCAUACAAUGCUACAUGCCAUUUUUUUUUUAGCUUGCUUGCUUUAAUUAAAUCUCAUCACUUGAAAAAUCCCAAGGAGGAACUUGCAGAUCUUCAAUUUGAUUUUUAUUUUCAUUAAGUUAAAGCUUAUAUGCCAAGUUUCCAAAAGCUUUUGCUGAAUGCACCUUGUUCUCAUGCAGCGCUGUCCCGAACAGAGAUGUGGGCAGGAAGAAACAGUCGCCUGUGUUUUACGACCCUGCAGACCCAUCUUAGUUAUUAAGCUCAGGGAAAACAAUUAAAUACUCUGUUAGGUGGAGCCUGAAUAGCAUUUUUUGAAACUCUAAUCAUUAUACAUCACUUUGGCAUAAAAAGCCAGAGGAAGAAGAUUCUUCAUACAGAGCAAGCAAUUCUUCUUGGGCCUUAUGAAAUUAAUUCUUUUAUAUCCCAUAACUUCAACUUGUAAGUCAGUGUAAUUGGCAGGAGAAGUCCCGCAGUAACAAUCGCGGGGCCGGUUAUUGUUUCCUCUAGUGCUCCGCUGUGGGAAUGCUGGAAAAACAGCCUCCCAUUCUGGUGUUUAUUGGCAAACGUUUAAAUAAAUCACGCCAGCUUGUACAAUGAGCUCGACGAUAAAUAAUCUCUUCUCUUGAAAUGUUCAGUGUUGCCGGAGGGAGAGCAGCGGAGACAGGUGGGUUUUGUGGUACCCGUGUAGCUGGGAUUGGGGUUCACAGUUUAGGAUGGAUCGGGAGGGUUUGGAAAACCUUGUUCUCUUCCCAGUUUGCCAAAACCCCACUGUGCGACCGCAACAGGGCGUGGAUUGAUCUCGCCUUGCCUCCCGUAUUUUGUUAAAAUAACCCAUUAAUUGCUUCAAGUGCCAUUUGCAGCCUCGAUGGAGGAAGCUCCUCCAGCAGCACCUGGCUCCUGUUUCCCACACCAGGCUUCCCAUUACCCCAGGUGUCUCCAGUAACAACAGCCGCCAACAGCUCCAAAAGCUCUGGUGUGACUGUCCCGUGGCCCUGCUCUGGUCCAGGUGUGUGUCCAUCAGCCCCAGCCUCAAGGUGCCUCUUCCAGUCGCACACAAGCUGAGCAUCACCCAGGGGCUGCUGCCGAUGUUCUGUCUCCUGGGCCCUCUGAAGCUUCCUCCUUCUAGCAACUUGAUAUAUUAAGAUAUUUUUUUCCUAUCUGCCUCUAAUUUCUGCCUAUUUAUCUCCCAGGUGGAGUCUACAGUGACAAGCUAAGCAAAGCGAUGCAUCUGUAAAAGCUAACGGCUCUGACACGUUCCCGCUCGGCGCUGUCUCGAGCUGAGGUUGCAGCGUGGUCAGGGAGAAGGGAAGGAUAACAGGGUAUUGCUUGACAUCAGCGCUUGGUGAUGAGACAGUUAAAGUCAAGGGAAAUGGCAAAGCAAGAGAUCGCUGAUGAAUGUGGCAUCUCCAUCCCACUGCUGCUGGAGAGAGCACUGCUCCGGGCUGGCUGGGGACGCUAUGGCAAUAUAACGCUUUGGUAGGAAAGCUCGGGAUGUAUCCUCAGCUGGAACAGGCUGAUCUCACUUUGGGUGGAAAUAAGGUGGUUUACAAGGUCCUCACCAGAAGCACCGUGGCUGUAGCUCCCUCCUGUCUGCUGCUAUCGAACAAAACGUGGGUUUGGAGCAGAACAUCCCGCUCUGGGAUUUGUUUGUCCUUUGUUAAAUCCAGCAUCCAGGGAUUCUUCCUCAAUUUGCUUUCACCAACCUACUUUCACCUUCCCCUUGACUCUGGGAUGCCAAUUAAGUAGCUUGACGCAGGGAGGGCUGUGGAUGUUAUUGAUUAGGGCUCUAAUUGCUUAUCUCUCCAUGCUGUCCAAGUGAAAUGGGCUGGAUGGAGAUGCCCUGAGCGAAAUAGAGAUGUGGCUGCCUGCCACUCGGAUUGAACCACGCAUUGUUCUUCGUCACAAGGGCUGCAUGGCUAUUUUUGAGCUAUUGUUACUCAGCGGUGCCGGCUUUGUCUCGCUGCCGUUGUCUCUUCCCCGUUGUGAUGAGCCAAGGGUGCCGGGGCAGGAAGGGUCACGCACUGUGGGUGCACCCCGUUUGCCGCUGGGACCACCUCCCACCCAGCCCGUGCUGUGGCUGGGAGGCCACGUACUGUGAAUGAUUUGGUAAAUUAAUCUACUCCCAGCUCAGAACCAAUACUUAGCGUUUUCAAGGUAUUGCAGGACAGCAAGGGGCAAGUUCACAUAUAUCUUCAAACACAGACCCGAGCCAGUUUUUUGAAAAUCCGCAUCUCAAAGACAUGUUAAAAACGUGGGGGAAAUGUUUUAAAACUAUUAGCUGAUCACUUGGUACCCCUGGGUAGAAGUUCUCCCAUAAUUCUGGGUCGCCGGGUGAAGGAGGCUCUGGGCCAUUAAUAGCCAGGGGCACGGAAAAAACAAGGCAAGCGAUUUGUUAGUCGCUGUGGGAAACCUUGCCCCCUGUGAACAAGGGGAUGGCUACGGAGUUGUCUAAUUGAGCAGGCAAAUGUUUACUGAUGUUCGCUAAAGGAUUUCACAUCCAUAUCUGAAAGAGCUUGGAUUGACUGUGAAGUGAAGAAAAGGCUGAAUUUCCCUCACGGUCUCUGCACAAAACCGAACAACCUGGCUGCGGACGGGAAGCAUCACGCUGGCGCUCUGCUUGGGCUGAAUUUCUAUCGAGUGGGCUGAUAAUUGUGCUGUAAAGAAAGAAUCAGGCCGGAUGAAUUUACCUUCAAGGCCCAUGAAGGACAAGAUCAAACCAACUUCAGAACAAUAUAAGGCUUUUCUCUUCAAGCCCAAGUUUUAGUGUCAAUGCUGCGAGGGCUUUGUGAACUCAAGACAUCAGCCUUGGGAUGUUCAAGGCUGACAGGAGCUGUUUUCUGUAAAACAGGAAAGUCUUUCAGUGCUGGGAAUUCACUUUCAUCACCGUAAUGUCAGAACAUCUUCCAGGAACACAGCUGGGUCUGUGGUUCAUCAAGGGCUUCUCUUCUCCAGGGGAAGAUCGGAUGCAAUGGAUGGAGUCUGCUUUCAUGUGAUUUGGGGUAUUCUCUGGGAUGUGUCACCACUUUUUUUCUGUGUUAGAGAAGAUCAGGAGAGGGGUCUUGCUUGCAGGUAAGACACAAAACGCUUUGUGCUGCCCUUCCUCCCAAGGAGACUCUUCAUGUACACUGGGUGCGAACCAGCAAGCACCUGGGAGACAAGAGUGGAUGCCUCCGAGGUGGCUACGAGAAGCAGUGCAGAGAGAACUGAAGACACUAAAACUAGUUUUAGGUAAGCUUUUGGUUUUCAGAUCAGAUCUGCAUAUUUAUACCCUAUCAACACGCACACUUAAUCCCAAGUUGCAAUGGGACUCGAGCGUUGUCUGUUAUUGCAGCUCCAUCUCUGUGCAAUUUCCUGCUGUUAAUGCAGCUCCGUCCCUUGUUUCUAUUCCAGACAAAUCAUGCCAGUUGUCUUUCCCAAGAUCAUUGUGCUGCCUUAAAAUACCCCCUACCUCUGUGUUCGCAAAGCUUGUGAAUACAGAGCUCUCUCUAAGGAGCUGUGGAGCCAAGUAGCCACGGCCAAGUGAGCAGGGACCUGGAGGGGCAUUUCCAUCAGUCCGUCAGCUGCCGGUCCUGCUGCUCCGAGCACAAACACAGUGGUUUUUGGGCACAUACGGAUGUAGAGUCCAACUUCGUUCUUGUACUUGGUACUGCCAAGAGAUGAAAGUGGGCUGGAUGGCAGUAAUAGAAGAAGCUUUCUGCUUUUUUCCUAAGGAAGCAAAAUCUGGAGUGGCAGAGGUGGCUCAUUCUGCAGAGCUGCCUCUCUGACAAUAAACACACUGAAGUGUCGGUGUGGGGAGCAGCAAGUCUGUAUUCUUGAAUCUCUCUGAUAAGUGACAAUACAUUGUGCUUCAUAUGUGUUCAAAAGAAAGCCGUUAUUCUUCUGAAGAUCUCGUCCCACUUUGCAGAGUCUCUUUAUUGUCACGGAGUGAGCGGGAAGGUCAGGCCAGCGGGGCUGGUGUGGCAGAGAACCCAGAGAGCAUCCCUGGCCAUGUGAACCCAGCACUGUGCACUUGUGUUUGAAUUUGCUGUAAUAAAUCCCCCGGUGAGGUCCCAUCGGUGAAGUGAACAGAAUGCAUACAUCAUUAGGUUAAAAAUAGAUGUUUGCAGUCACAAAGUCUGCGUUACCUGGUAGUCGGUCGGGUCCCGGCCCUUCCCCGCGCCUGCAGCUGCAGGGCUGGGGGAGGAUUCCUCUGUGCACCGCUGCUGGAACAGCAAAAUCCAGGUCUCACCUGGGUGUGUGUGAUGUGCCAUGAUGGGAAAAGGCCCCGAUUGCCCCUGUGGGCACAGGGCAGAGCAACCAGCUCAUUGUCGUGCACAGCUGUGCCCACCCCAGCUGUGUCUGGGGCACCUCGACCCAGCCGUGCUGCUGAGAUGCUUUUGCCCCUCUGCUAGGAGAUCACUCUGAAGGUCCAUUUUACCCCGUGCAGAAUGCUGGCGUAUGCACACGCAUACAGCAGGCAUUCGCUGGAGCUGGCAAGUUGGAAAAAUAGCAGUGCCCUCAGGGAAAAUAUAUAUUCCCCUGUUGGUACCUUCCUUCCCUCUGCUGGCAGUUUCUCUGCACAUAUCGCAGCUUUCAGCCUGCUGCCCCUGAGAGCCGGAGAGAAAGAUAAAACAUUCUCAUCACAGCAGCGUUAUUUUUCUUUCAAAGUUCUCUCGCACUUUCAUAUAUGGCUGUUGAUAUUGAAAGCUAUAGAUGUCACGGAUCUCGAUAUAUGGAUAGAGACGUACGGCUGAGUGUGACAGCUGGGUGUCUGACUCUCUUCCAUUUCAAAAUCUGAUCCCUCUUCUCUGCCAUCGGUUUGAUUUUAUGCCCCUUCUGGCUCCUUUUCCAGGGGGGCUGGGAGCUGUGUAGAAUUUGAGGCUUCACUUCCAACGAGCUCGUCAGGUCUCAGCCCGCAGCAGUGAACUCAUUAGCAAAAUCGACACUAGUGAACAUCCCUUUGAUUAGAGAAGGUGUCGGUAUGUGGUGUGUCCUAGAGACUGAACUGCUCUCCCGCUGCAAAGGCUUUUCUCCCUGGCAAUAUGGGGCGGUGUGUUGGGUUUAUCACGCUGGUACGACGGUGGGAAUUGCACCGUGUAGUGUAGCAGUAAGAGACCCCACCAGGAUCCAGCUCAACUCGGGAGCAAACAAACCUCUUAUCCAGACGGCAGCUCGAGGUUGAUCUCUUGCACUGGCAUAAAGCAGGAACCAUGGGCUUUAAUUUGAUUGCUGUGACUAUAUUCUUAUACCUGGUGCAAUCAGAAAUAGCAGCAUCAAACUUGACAGGAGGGGUUCUCGGCAUCCUUGGCAUUGGGAAUGGAGGCACAGCGGAGCCGGCGACAGACACGUCUGUGGUUCGCUCUGCAGCACCAUCGUUACCAAAGUAUUUCCUGCUGCACGGCUGAAGCAGCAGAAUUACUGCACAUACAGCUGGAGCUGAUGGGGCUCAGCACCCCCCUCCUUGUUUCAUGUUUAAUUAGCCAGCGUGGGAAGGAUGGAUUGGCUGGAACAAGGAAGCAGGAGGGAGAAGGAAGGUUAAUCUAUCCUCUAGCUUUGCUAUUCCUUCUUCCUUGUGAUCUUGAGAAGCAAGGAGAUGAUGAGUCCUUUGAAGUGCAAAGCACUCCCCAUCCUUCUCCCUGAAAUGAUCGGUCUCCUCCUCCUCCCAGCCUGGGUCCAGCGCGUUCUGCAAAGCGCUGCGGAUGGCCCAGGAGCUGUUCUUACAGGGGCUGAGGCACAGGAUUUCAGGACUAAGCACCCUCAAAGCCACGUGCCUGUUCCAACAGUAACCUGAAAUAUCGGGGUGCUGCCUAGAUUUAAUGUGAGGAGUUUGGGUGACUGAAGCUGUGUGGGGCUGCGGGAGGGCGAUGCUGCUGGGGCAGGGGCGCUGGGGAGUUACCUGGGCUCUCAUCACCACCUCAGGAUGUACCAAUAGCCGUGCAAUUCCCCUAGCUGGUGUUUGUAAGGAGAGCGAGCCCGGCAGCCCGGCUCCCUCCUCUAGUGCUGUUCAAUAGCUCCGUUCAGUUUUUCAGGAAACUCUUUCCGAACAACAACGUGGGGAUACCAGGAGCAGAACGGGAGGGCUCGUGUAGCACGGCAGAACCAACAGCCCUUUCCCCAGGACCCGUGUUCUCCCCGAGUCAUAGUAAUUGAAUUGUUUUAAUAUUAAAUAUCUUCUCUGGAGCUCUGCUGAUGGGAGGGCGGCAGAGAUGUUUCUUCCAAAAUAGUCUUAAGCUAAUGCAGAAAGUAUGAAUAAAUCUCUCAGAGAUUAUAGCCCCUGGAAAGCUCCUGUGAACAUCAGAAAGACAUCCUUACUGCUAUGGGAGGUUUGAUUGAAUUACAAAUUUGAGGCAACUCCAAAGCAAAACUGAUUAAGUCUUUUCUUUUUCGCUCUCUUGUUGUAGCUUUUUAAAGCACUAAAGCUUUUUAAUAAUUAGAAAUCCCCCCAUCCUGUUUGUAAGUAGUUAUAAUUGGCAUUGCCCUGUGUGUAAGUAGUUCUGAUUGGCAUUGUGUCCACGUAGAUGGUCGUACACCAAAGCAGAAACCUUGCCAAGCACAAGCCCGUUCUGAGGAGCAUCAUUGCUCAUCAUCUCCGAAGGAGACCCCUGGUUUGCGUUGUGGGAGGAUCGCCCUGGGGUUUGGAGGAGGCAGCAGGACAGCGAGACGAUGCCCAAGAGGCGCGGAUUUGAGCAGCGACACGUGUGCCCUUCCAAGAACAGGCAGUGAGAGCAGCGGCCGUGGAGCGGGAGAGGAGCCGCCUUCAAGAACAAAAGUGGGAAGAGAGGCCUGAAAUGAUGUGAAAAUAACACUGUUUGAAUUAAUGUGUCAGCCCUGAUGGAUGCUUGUGCUACCCAGAGUUUUGAAAGGGCUCUGACGGGUAAGGUAUUACCAGGUGAGAUUUACCUACAGCCCCUGACUUCUAGUCAGCAAAAUCUGAGAUGAAAACCUAUCCUUCACUCUGCACUGACUUCCAGAGAAUAUUGAAUCAAGAUAAAGACCUAGAGGGCCACACACCCCAAGGUAUUUUGGCAUCUAAGUCCCAUUAAUUUCCAUGCAAGUGUUGGCAUUUUCAGAUAUUAUCUUUAAUUUAGUCAAGUGAAGGAGGGUCGGUCCUUAUCCCCAGCUCAGCCAGGGGAUGGGUGCGGGGCUGUGGGAGCCCCAUCCUGAUGGGAAAUGGGGUCCUGGAGCUCUGGGGACAGCGGCUGGGGGGGCUCUGGCUGCCUCCUCUGCUGUGCCAAGGGUAGGUUUGCAGCUUGUCUUCCCUAUCGUCAUUCCAAAGCUGUACAUACGUUUUAUUGCACACUUACCUUCCUCCCAGAGUGAGAGAAUGACCUACAUAUACAGGUGUUAAAGCCUGGAGGAUACUGGACUUCAUAAAACGGGUUGUAUAAGGGUUUGGAUCAGCAGUGCCCUGCUACAUUCAAACAGACACUCAUUCUCGAUGGGGACUGCGCGUACGUGCGCAUCUGUCCUUCCUCGCACAUCUGUCCUUCCUCCUUCUCUCCAUGGCACUAACCCACAGAGCAGCCCCUUCCCAGCACCAAAGGAAGGGAGCGAAAUGAAGAAAAAGCAGGAGGCAAAGAUCACAACAUACACAUGGACAAAUCCUGUCUCCUGACCUCUGCAGAGGCCGCAGUUCAGGGCAGGUGGGGACGUGCACUGACAAGAGGAUAAAGAUGGAAAGCAUCGAGUGUUCUUCAGGGCUGCAGACGUGCCGUGGGGAGGGGACAGCUCACGGGAGGUCCAGGCUUCGCUCCCCGCUCAGCUCGAGUGCAUUCUCCCCCUAAAC
This is an RNA transcript of Columba livia (rock pigeon), 11489 nucleotides long. RefSeq lists it as uncharacterized. The transcript has 4 exons. The record is from RefSeq and is a predicted model, not a curated record. NCBI's taxonomy places the organism in Eukaryota, Metazoa, Chordata, Aves, Columbiformes, Columbidae.